Hemicordylus capensis (graceful crag lizard) is the source of this 2977-nucleotide long non-coding RNA. RefSeq lists it as uncharacterized. The transcript has 2 exons. Lineage: Eukaryota; Metazoa; Chordata; Lepidosauria; Squamata; Cordylidae. The record is from RefSeq and is a predicted model, not a curated record.
AUCCCAGCUCUUAUACCCUGAAAGCCAAAGGAGAGACAGAGGAAUGUCAGCUGGGCAUGGAGAAUGACUUUAGCUAGCUGGUCAGAUUUGAGGGAAUCAUGUGUAGUGUUAGGUGCAGGGGAUCCAAUGGGAUAUUACUUUCAAGGGUCCCCCAAAUAGACAGAUUAAGGCCUGUGCCAAUCCCUUGGAUUCCUACAAGGGAAGGGACUCUUUGGUUAGAGGCAUGACUGGAACUUAGGUGAACAAGUCACCCAGAGAAAAGGGGGAAAUUAACAUACACGUUCUUCUUUGAUAAUUGCUAACUGCCUUGAACAAUAUGAUGCAUUUCUUGCCAGCAUUUUGUUGUUCUAUUGUAAUGCUGAAAGUACAGUUUUUUAUCUAUCUGUCUGAAUAGGAUUGUGCUACAGUGGAAUUGCUUGCUAAACAAUAUUGAAGGUGCGAGGUAAGAGGAAACAAUACUAACCACUUAACCAUGAUCCAGUGUUCUUAUGUGGUACCCACCCCUCCCUUUGCUCUUUCCUCAAUACUGCUUGUCCUGAUCCAGACAUAGACACUGAGGUGCCUGUGUAAGCUAUUUACAUGUUUCUUUGGAGACAGAGUUUUAUUGAUAAUAGCCUCAUGUAGGCAAAGAAGGGGAUGGCCAGAAGUGCAUAUGCUGACUCUAAGGAAAACUGUUUACAGUACCAGGCUUGACUGGCUGCAUGGAACAUCUGUCUGAAAGCUGUAGGGCCAAUCUAUGAACUGCACCCUAUAAGAGAGGUUGUCUUUUGGCAAUAUGGCAGAGAGAAGUAAGGAAAGCAACUUACUCCAUCUGACUGUCUUUCUAACUCUUGAGUAUUGACAGAGGUCAGUUCUCGUAGAGAGAACUGAGAUAUAGAAAUAGAAUAAAUGAAUGAAAUGAAUGAGUAGAGAGAACUUGUUUGGCAUAUCUGCAUUGUUGGCAUGCGAAGCAAGCAUCCUAUGACACCAUCAUCCGGGCCAGAUCCGAUAUGCCUGCUGCCUAACCUUGCCAGCCUGAGUGACUCAAACCGGGAUUCCAUGUCUGAUUGCUGAAGCCUAGACAGGGUAAUUAUGCAGCUCCUUUUGCCUUUCUGGAAAUUCUUUCCACCUGGAAUCCUUCCCCUGCCCCCACUUGUCUGGGCUGCUUGAUUCCUAUCCUUCCCCGCCGUCCCCACGUCCCUUGCCUGGAUUCCACUUUUCUCCCUUUCCUCGCUCCCUGUUUUCAUCUAUGUCUGCUUCUCUCCCUUGCCAGUUGAAACUGUUGUUUUUAAUUGGUUAUGUGAAAUAGAAGCCAAAUCACAUGCAUCCAACAUCAGAGAAAGCGAGAAUUGUGCUUUGAACUCUGGUUGCUCAGAUGCUCCAGUUACGUUUCUGUUUUCUUACAAUAAAGCUUACAUUUCUUUAGUAGCCUUGGGACUGCUUCUCUCCCUCUCUAACUUCAGCCUGUCCCUGAGCCACAUCAGGAACUAGAAUUGUGGGGACUGCACUACCAGUUUCCCCUUCACUCUGGUGCCUGUUGAUUGACCAUGCAUAUGCACAGAAUGGGGGUGGCCUGCUGGUGGUAGCCAACAGUAGGCUCCAACAUACAUCUCACUUGCCCUCUCUGUGCUCUUCAAAUGGGAUUGGACCCCUCCAGAGCCCCUUGAGGUACCCUCCCCAGUCACAUAUGCCCCCGGCACUGCAUUGGUCUCUGUCCUCAAUGCCAGAGGCCUGACGGUUUCCCCCUCUUACCUGACCCAGGUGUGAGGACCACGCAGUGCUUCCCACCAACAUUGCUUGGUUUCCCACCCAACCAGUUGCUGUACCCAAAUGGUGUGCCAUCAGUCCAUCGCCAGUCACGCUGCUGUGGAGCAGAUAAAGGAAUGAUGCCAGUCAGUAAGUAUAGGGAGCCAGAUGCUACGAAAGGGAGGAAACCUGAUGGACAAAUGUCCCACCCGCAGUAUCCUUUACAUUGGAAUCCCAACUAGAACUGAAACAAGUUCUCUACUUAAAGAUUGCAUGCAAAGAUGGUAAUGCAUGGUCUUCUCAUUCCCUUUUCCCCAUUCCUUGUUAUGGAUGCAAUUAUAUUCUAAGGUUUGACGGAAUCAGUGCUUCUCAAAGGAAUUCCAGUGCAGGCCACAAGGGUUCUGGUGAGGCAGCCACUGAGUCCAUGUGCCAUGCAGGAACCAUGUGGAGUGAAUUCUCACCAUGUUCACGGUUGGCGUCCUCUGCAGCCCAAUCCACACAGAAUUCUCGUCCAUGUUUGCUUGAGACAGUUUUGCUCAAACAUUAACCGUGGGAAAAUACAAAAAGGGAGGGAGUGAUCAGACGCUUGGAAGGACUGAGGCUUCAAGGCUACUGCAUGACUCCAGGCUACUGAUGAAGACUCAAGGCUACUGAUGAAGGACCAGUCUGACUUUUACUAGGAGGAAUAAUGUGAAUAAGCAAAACAGUAGUUCUGUCUCCACUUACAGACAACAUUAUGCAGACUGAAUAAUAUAAACAAAAUGAUUGUUUUGAAUUAGGAGGGGUUGUUGAGCUAAUAGUAGCUAAUAAUGGUAGCUUUCCAUUAUUAUUGAGGUGCUCUGAGGCACACAGACAGAGAGAAGCAACUUAGAAUCAUGAGCUGACUUCAUUUUUCAAACACCCAUCCUAAAGGCUGUACUGUCUAAAGACUUGUGAAAUCUUUAAAGUUACUUUUAGAAAGCAAAGAUAGAGCCAGCCUUCCUAAAAGAACAGAAAUGUUUCAGAGAAGCCAGGAGAAGCCAAGAUACUUUAAGAGCAACUUUUUAAUGCAUACUAGAGCUAGCCUUUUGGGUCUGAGGAGGAGAGAAAGAGAAUUUGUCAAGCCUUGAUUUAUUAUGGAUUAUUAUUGAUUGUUUAAUUUCAAAGAAGAUCUGUUUUCAUCUAUGCAUUCCAUUUAAGGCAAACCUUUUUUGUCAUGGCAAGUUAUUCUUUGUAUGCAAGCCUUUUUCAAUGUAAAUUUGUUUUUCUCUUC